RNAcentral lists this long non-coding RNA (2057 nucleotides) under Gossypium raimondii (Peruvian cotton). Its description in RNAcentral is "long non-coding RNA (GRAI_LNC010990)". Lineage: Eukaryota; Viridiplantae; Streptophyta; Magnoliopsida; Malvales; Malvaceae. The record is from RNAcentral.
GAGGAGUUCAACUUUUUAAAACAGAUUCUGCACAAAUAUGAAGCUUGUUCAGGCCAAAAAGUUAAUUUUUCUAAAUCCACAAUUUUUUUCAACAGUAAUUCACAAGAAGAAGAAAGACAAACAGUUACUCGAGUUCUUGGAGUGCAAAGGUCAGAUGAAAUGGAAAGAUAUCUAGGGCUACCAAAUUUGGUAGGAAGAAGCAAAAAGGCGGCGUUUCAGAUUUUGAAAGAUAGGUUCAAACAACGAAUUGAUAAUUGGAGCAUCAAAUAUCUUUCACAAUGAGGUAAGGAAAUUUUCACCAAAGCCGUUUUACAAUCUAUACCAACCUAUGCAAUGUCUUGCUUUUUACUUCCUAAAUCUUUAUGUAUGGAGUUAGAGGGAAUUAUUGCAAAAUUUUGGUGGCAGAAAAAUAAAAGAAAAAAGGGGAUCCAUUGAUGUGUAUGGAAAGAUGUUUGCUUACCAAAAGAUUCGGGUGGUUUAGGUUUUAGAAGGUUAAAUAAGUUUAAUUUUGCGCUAUUAGCUAAACAGGGUUGGCGCCUUAUUAAUUAUCCGAGUUCUUUGUUAGCCUAAGUUUUAAAAGCUAAAUAUUUUCCUAGAACGAAUUUUUUAAAUCCUUCUUUGGGUAACCUACCUUCACUCACCUGGAGGAGUAUUUGGUCAACAAAAAAACUUUUGUUGGAUGGCUUAUGCUGGAGGGUUGGAGUAGGAGACAGUAUAUCAAUCUGGAAUGACCGCUAGAUACCGGGAAUAACAGAAGACAAGAUACAGAAUAAUAACAGCAAUGAGGAAUUAAGGUUAGUGUCCGACUUAAUCAAUAAAGAAAGCAGAACAUGGAAUAGAGAGUUGAUUGUCCGUACCUUUAAUACGGAUAUUACGAAGAAGAUAAUGCAGAUUCCGCUUUCAAAGUCAAGCCAAGAAAACAUUCAAGUCUGGAGAGGGGAGGUGACUGGAGUCUUUUCAGUAAGGAGCGCCUAUAAACUAUUACAGGAGUCUACUACAGAUUUUAAUGCUUAUUUACAGAUCCAUACAAAUAAUUUUUUCAGGAAAUUAUGGAAUCUAGAUCUGUCUUCAAAAAUUAAGAUUACAGUAUGGAAAAUUACGGGGAACUACAUUCCAACUUUCUCCAAUCUAAAACUGAGAAGAGUAAUGACUGAUGAUCGAUGUUUGAAGUGUGGACAGGAAGCAGAAGAUAGCAACCAUGUCUUUUAAAGGUGUCCUAUAGCGAAAGAAGUAUGGAGUCAGUUGAAUUUUUCAUGGGUAUUUAAUAACAGUAAUUUCGAUCUCUGGAGUUGGCUUACCUGGGUUUUCAGCGAAGGAACAAAUGAACAGUGUCGAGGAUUCUGUUGUGGGCUAUGGAUAAUCUGGACAAGCAGAAAUAAAUUUCUUUAUGAAGGUAAAAUCAGUACCAGUUGGGACAUAUCCAAGCAAAUAAAAAAGCUAUAUUCUUGAGCUGGAAGGUAUUAGAGAAAGGGAACUCACCUUAGUAACCAGUACAAAGUCUAGGCAGAGGCUACAAAGAGAGAAUACGGCCAUCUUCUUCGAUGCGACUUUUGACUCAAAGCAUAACAGAUCUACGUCAGGCCUAGUUGUCAAGGACCAGGAGGGUAAAAUCGUGGUUGCAAAGUCAAUCCUUCAUGAAAAUGUUGCAUCUCCAUUUGGGGUGGAAGCAUAUGCAGGAUAUCAAGCAACAAUGUUAGGGAUUCAACUGCGAUAUCUUAAUGUGGAUAUACUAGGAGAUUCAAAAACAGUUACAACCAAAUGCCAAAGUGAAAAUCGCGACAGAUCAGAAAUAGGAGCAAUCAUCAGUGAUAUUCAAGGAUUAAAAGGUUUCUUUCAAAAAAUCAGUUUCUUCUUCAUACCAAGGACUGGAAAUAUUGAAGCAUACAGAAUAGCAAAAGAAACACUCAUGAAGGGGAAGGAACUAUACCUGGAAGGAGAGACCUUACGAGCAUUAUGCGAGGAGCAGGAAUCAACUCGUCUGGGCUAUUCGGAGCAAAGGGAAAGAAGAUAAGAUUUUGAUUUUGGCAAGAGUGGGUGUCGAUUGAAAUGAAAGAAGA